AUGGAUCCGCAGGAGGAUGGCUUCUUCUACUCACACCAUGGCGCGUGCCAUGCCGAUUCCAGUCAAGGGACGGAAUGUAAAGCCCAGAGUUCGGUUACCGCUCGCAAGGUUCACAAGGCUGACCGUGAGAGAAUGCGACGAGACAAAUUGAAUGAGCAGUUCCUGGAAUUGGGAACCACACUUGACCCAGAUCGGCCCAGGCAUGAUAAGGCUACUAUUCUUGGUGAUACAGUUCAGAUGCUCAAGGAUUUGACUUCUCAAGUAAACAAGCUUAAAGCUGAAUACUCUUCUCUCUUUGAAGAAGAAUGUGAGUUGACUAAAGAAAAAAAUGAGCUUCGGAGUGAAAAAGCUUCGCUGAAGUCUGAUGUGGAUAAUUUGAACAACCACUAUCAGCAACGUAUUCAAAUGUUAUACCUGUGCACUACAAUGGAGCCUUCUGUACUCGUUGGGCCACCUCCAUCAUAUCCCUUCUCGCUCCAAGUUCCUAUACCCGCUGGUGCUGUAACUAUGCAUCCACAGCUUCAGCCAUGCCCGUUCUUCCAAAAUCAAACUUCAGGAGCCAUCUCGAAUCCAUGUACUCCUUACAUGGCAUACAGUCAAUCCUGUCAUGCUCCUAGUGAUCAACCAUCUAGCCAGUUCAGUACUCCAGUUCUGCUUUCAAGUAGUAAUCGAUCUCACUCUCCUGCACAAGGCUGUAGAAGCAAGUCACCUUCACUUCAGCAAGCAAGCUGUGGAGGGAGAAAUGAUGAUUUUGGUGAUGUUGCAACUGACUUGGAACUAAAAACUCCUGGUUCCUCAGCUCCUUCACAUUCAGAGAUCACUAACAAGGAUUCCUCUUCUGACUUGAAAAUGAAGAAGCAAUGCAUAAAGUUAAUUAAUGGUAGUACUCUUAUUGAAGACAGCAGUUCAAGCAGAUGUUCUUCUAGUGCCCCCCCACACAAUUCCUCUUCUGUACUUGCCGAAGACCAGUGA
RNAcentral lists this ribosomal RNA (972 nucleotides) under Triticum aestivum (bread wheat). RNAcentral's name for it is "partial small subunit ribosomal RNA". Lineage: Eukaryota; Viridiplantae; Streptophyta; Magnoliopsida; Poales; Poaceae. The record is from RNAcentral.